This 253-nucleotide ribosomal RNA is filed under the name uncultured bacterium. Its description in RNAcentral is "partial 16S ribosomal RNA". It matches the Rfam family "Bacterial small subunit ribosomal RNA", at positions 524 to 776 of the family's 1533-position model. The record is from RNAcentral.
UACGGGGGGGGCAAGCGUUGUUCGGAAUUACUGGGCGUAAAGGGCUCGUAGGCGGCCAACUAAGUCCGACGUGAAAUCCCCAGGCUUAACCUGGGAACUGCGUCGGAUACUGGAUGGCUUGAAUUCGGGAGAGGGAUGCAGAAUUCCAGGUGUAGCGGUGAAAUGCGUAGAUAUCAGGAGGAACACCGGUGGCGAAGGUGGAUCUCUGGGCCAUUACUGACGCUGAGGAGCGAAAGCGUGGGGAGCGAACAGG